AAAUGUUAAUGCUCCAAAAUGAUCUACUUUGACUCCAUGUCUCUCAUCCAGGUUAUGCUGAUCCAAGUAGUGGGCUACCACAGCCUUGGGCAGCUCCACUCCUGUGGCUUUGCAGGGUACAGCCCCACUCCUGGAUGCUUCCAUGGGCCGGCAUCAAGUGUCUGCAGUGUUUCCAGGAAACCAAAGAGAAAAUAA
This 195-nucleotide long non-coding RNA is filed under the name Callithrix jacchus (white-tufted-ear marmoset). Its description in RNAcentral is "lncRNA (ENSCJAG00000073247.1)". The record is from RNAcentral. Lineage: Eukaryota; Metazoa; Chordata; Mammalia; Primates; Cebidae.